Molecule: ribosomal RNA, 492 nt
Filed under: uncultured bacterium
Lineage: Bacteria
Description: partial 16S ribosomal RNA
Rfam family: Bacterial small subunit ribosomal RNA
Source: RNAcentral
AGUGAACGCUGGCGGUAGGCCUAACACAUGCAAGUCGAACGGCAGCACAGUAAGAGCUUGCUCUUACGGGUGGCGAGUGGCGGACGGGUGAGGAAUACAUCGGAAUCUACUUUUUCGUGGGGGAUAACGUAGGGAAACUUACGCUAAUACCGCAUACGACCUACGGGUGAAAGCAGGGGAUCUUCGGACCUUGCGCGAUUGAAUGAGCCGAUGUCGGAUUAGCUAGUUGGCGGGGUAAAGGCCCACCAAGGCGACGAUCCGUAGCUGGUCUGAGAGGAUGAUCAGCCACACUGGAACGGAGACACGGUCCAGACUACUACGGGAGGCAGCAGUGGGGAAUAUUGGACAAUGGGCGCAAGACUGAUCCAGCCAUACCGCGUGGGUGAAGAAGGCCUUCGGGUUGUAAAGCCCUUUUGUUGGGAAAGAAAAGCAGCAGGUUAAUACCCCGCUGUUCUGACGGUACCCAAAGAAUAAGCACCGGCUAACUUCGUG